CGAACCAGCAGAUACUGUCUGUACUGUCUGCUCUGAUUAUCCACUGAACAUAAUGAGGGCUUUCUACAUUGUGCUCCCUCUGCUGAUAUCUGUGUCAUGUAAGGUGUUUAGUUAUACUGCACAUAUUUGAGAAAAACAAUAUUUAGUUAUUAAGGCUUCCAAUGUUUAUUAAACAUGUUUAUGUUUCAGAUGUCCUCUCGCAAGCAGUUACCCUGGAUCAACCUGGAUCAGUAACUGUGAAACCCUCAGAGACUAUGAAACUGACCUGUAAAGUUUCAGUGGAUGUUACUAGUUAUCACUGGGGCUGGAUCAGACAGCUUCCAGGAAAGGGACUGGAAUAUAUUGGUCGUAUUAUCAACAGUGGAACCUCACAGCCUGGCUCCUCGUUUAACAAUCGAGCCACUUUCACCAGAGACACCGCAAAGAAUGAAGUUUAUGUCAAAAUCACUAAUAUGAGAAGUGAAGAAUCUGGUGUAUAUUACUGUGCAAGAGACACAGUGAG
Molecule: non-coding RNA, 502 nt
Organism: Pelobates cultripes (western spadefoot toad)
Lineage: Eukaryota; Metazoa; Chordata; Amphibia; Anura; Pelobatidae
Source: the annotation of a GenBank genome assembly